GGCAGCCAAUAACUCCGGAGAGACAAACCCGUAAGGCCAGAAUUCUGAGAAGUGAGUCCGAGGAAGUCCAACGCAAAAUACUCAACCAGGCAUUUGUCAGUGGCGUUGCUACUACAGCGCAGCGUGAUGGGAGCCAAUUCUGACCUGGUGCAAGAUACUCCCAGGCCUGGAGAGUUAGCAUAUGGUUUAGACGUCUGCCACCAGCCCUCUACUCCAUCAGCCUGUGCCUCGGGCUCUGUAAAGGAAAACCACUGGUCUUCCAGUCUGACCCUGAAUGUUCUGGGCUGACAGCCUUCGAAUGGGCUGCCAUGGCAACCACUUGCCAACUGUUGUGCCACUCUCUCUG
Long non-coding RNA from Alexandromys fortis (reed vole), 346 nucleotides. RefSeq lists it as uncharacterized. The transcript is spliced from 4 exons. NCBI's taxonomy places the organism in Eukaryota, Metazoa, Chordata, Mammalia, Rodentia, Cricetidae. The record is from RefSeq and is a predicted model, not a curated record.